GGGAGUGCUGCUUCAUGCCAAGUUUAUAAACAGAGCAGUGUUUCCAGAUGGCCGCUGGCUCCAGCCUGGCGAGCAGGUUGAUUGGGACCAGAAUAACAACAGGUGGAGCGCAGACAAUGAGUUCCUUGACACUUAUUUACUCCCUUGGCGUUUUCUUCCCUCGCAGCCCUCCAUUCCGCCGGCCACAGCCACCACCACGGAUUUCCACGGCGUCAAAUAAGAAAGGGGCUUUGAAGCUUGGGAUCCAGGACCAGGACUUGGCAAUUUAUCUGAACUGACAGAGCAGAGCCCUAGGGGCCAGGCAGACCGCCCCCCUCUUCUGUCCCCACCCCCUGCAUUGCAUCGCUGAACUCUGAAUGUCUCCACUCAGAAGAGUUCCCUUCACUGCAAAGGAAAGGUGAAUAAUAACAGUAAAACCGAAGAAACAAGCUCUUCAUGGCUGAGCAUGUUUUGCUCCAAUUCUACGGUCUUUUUGGACCAAACGUUUGUUGGAGUUCACAGGUGAGGUUGGAGCUGGUUGUGUAGCAAUCUCUUUUUCGAAGGUAAAACCUUCAUCUCAGAGAGAAGCUCCUUAAGGCACAGAUGUUCUUAGGGGCUCCUUAAGGUCAAGAAGUAGACACCUUAAAGACUAAGGAAGUCCCUGAAACUGAUCAGAUGCAGGAGGCCCCUCCCUCCCUAAGCAUGUGUACACUGUAAGGACUGCUGAGAGAUAACUGCAGAGAAGCUGGGAUGCCUAAAAAAAGGUUCAGACCAGACCAGCCACCUGGGAGAGGCAGAGAUAAGCCUCCGAACUGGCUAGAAGACUUUCAGACUAGCCUAACUGCCUGGAUGAGGCAGAUACCAGCUGAGCUGCCUAGAAGAGACCAACUGAGCCAUGUGGAAAGGGACACUCUUUCAACCUACUGAGCUGCCUGAGGUUAUGCAGUGCACUUGGGUUUCCUGCCUCUUUGAGCUGUCACUGAUUAUCACUGAAUACUGAUUGAUUCACCAAGUUGGACUUUGAUUAGGAUCCUUCCUUUGGUCUGUCAUUGGUUCCCUGUCUUGGUGUUCAUCUUGCCCUAGGAAUAGUCGCCCAACAGAGAUGGUGUCCAUUUGGACAAGGUCUACUCCAUGGUG
This is a long non-coding RNA of Nannospalax galili (Upper Galilee mountains blind mole rat), 1116 nucleotides long. RefSeq lists it as uncharacterized. NCBI's taxonomy places the organism in Eukaryota, Metazoa, Chordata, Mammalia, Rodentia, Spalacidae. The record is from RefSeq and is a predicted model, not a curated record. The transcript is spliced from 3 exons.